GUGCUCGCUUCAGCAGCACAUAUACUAAAAUUGAAAUGAUACAGAGAAGAUUAGCAUGGCCCCUGUGCAAGGAUGACACGCAAAUUCGUGAAGCAUUCCACAUUUUU
Molecule: small nuclear RNA, 107 nt
Filed under: Colobus angolensis palliatus
Lineage: Eukaryota; Metazoa; Chordata; Mammalia; Primates; Cercopithecidae
Source: RNAcentral